AUGCUCCUUCAUUUUCUACUUUAGUUUAAAAAAGAGGACGUUUGACAUUCUACAUGCUGUAACUAUCAGGACAUGGAUGGUAAUCUGAAUUUCGUUUUUGCUAUUCAAUUAACUCUAACAGCUUGAGCGCAUUAGUCUUAGCCCCAGGGCAAAUUCUUGCUGCAGGACAGAUAGUUUGGUAACUAGUGGAACAUUUACAAGCCGGUGGGGAAACAAGCCUGUGUUCCCCCAGGUGCUCCUUGUGUGUCCCAGCGUUCCCCAUUUGUCCAGGGAACUGAAGGGGUCAAAAGAACCAAAACCAUCCCUGAGAUGCCUUGCUAAUACAACUAACCCCUCCACAGACAUGCCACAACUUACCUCUUCCUCGGUGUAUGUAUACUUCAUGUUAACAGGGUUCUUAUAAAGCACAUUUUCUGAAUCUGCAAUCAUUCCUUUGACAAUUACUGGUACCCAAAGGAAAACUCAUUUUCUUUGCAUUACCCCAGUAAUACAUAAAAGCUGUCUCUUGUUAUAGUGGUACAUUAUGAAGCUUGGAUAGUAUCUUAGAUUACAGAGCAAAUGGUAAGAUGAAGAACAGUACCAAGCCCCCAUAGCUCAUUUCUCCUCAAUAUAAUCAGAUGUUAACAUAACUUAAGAGGACUGAAGGCUGGUGCAGUGCCCCCCGUCCCAUGCAACACAUCUCUGCAGUUAGUGGAGUAAAUACAAGGCCACUUUCCUGUCAUCCAGGCUCACAUGUUCUGAGUUUCAAAAGUGGCUCUUGUGUGACUGAAUCAAUUACAGUUUACAAACUAAAGCCAAAUACUUUGAAGACAAUCUAAUGGGCCAGUGGGUUAACAUUUCACUGGAGAUGGAAAGCGCUCUCCAGCAGGGUCCGUGGCUUUCUUCUGUUUUCAAGAAGAGUUCCAUAUGCUGGACCACUUCUUUGUAGUCUUCCCCGUUAUCCAAAACCUGGGCGGCCAGCGGUUUCCUGAACGUGUUGCUUCUAUAAGGGAAUAUUUACUUUGUUUUCUACUAAAGUUCCUAUCCUUGGCAUAUGAUUGCACUUGAUUUUGGCAUUUAGGGUCUGGGGUUUCUAUUGUAUGUUUUCGGUUAAGAGUAUUUAAGGAACAUCGUUGUAGGUUCUCACCCAUGUUAGUUUUACGAGAAUGGGAUGACUUGAGUGUUAUUCAGACUAAAUUCUCAUUGGCAGCAAGCCAUACAAGAGCAAGAAGGGGGCAGGGGUGUGGAGAGGGGUAUGAAGUGUGUCUUUGCCUGUGAGAUUUCAACAUUUAAUAGUGAAGAUUCUGAGCAACCUAUCUUUAUUGAAGAAAAAAAAAUCCCUCUUAAACAUUGGCUCUCUGUAAGCAGGAUAAGUGCGAUAGUUGUGUAUCUACUUGACACCAUAAUAAACUGAACUCAGCUUUUCGAUUCCUCAUCUCAGACUACACUGCAUUGUUCAGAAUAUAUGUAGAUGGUACCUGUCUUAACCCUGUAUCUCCAGUCCUUUGCACGGGUGGGUGGAGUGGUUAUUUGCUAGGUGGGUUUGGUAGACAGACGGAUGGCUUUCACGGGCCAUUGAGUUUACUCAAUACCGUUGCUAUUUGUUGAUGCAGAUAUAUAUUGAAACAAAUUUCCUUUUCUUUCUUUUUUUUUUUUUUCCAUCUCACUCUUCCAUGCUGUUUUCUUGCUAUGUAUUUCUCUCCCAACUACUAGAAAGGAAAGUGUAGCUGUGUGGUUCUCAUGGUACUUUCUUAUUAUAUAUAUUGAUUGAGGUCAUGGCAGAACUCAACAGUGUUCAAAGAAAAAUAAUUGUGAAGAAAAUUUUAUGAGAUAAAUGGAAAUGGGUUAUUGUGUUUGUUUCCAAAACUUUUAGGUAAAAGCUUGAUAUUGUUCAUCUUUGUCAGUCAGCUUUUCAUCGCUGUGACAAAAUUCUUAAUUAUAAACAACUUAAAGGAGAAAAUUUGGGCCUGUUUUCAAUCCAUGGUCACCUGCCUCCAUCACCUUGGGCCUGGUGCAAUCACAUUGGGGAGUUUUUCACCAUAUAGAAUCUGUGAAAGAGAAAAGAGGCAGAAAAGGAAGAAAAAGUAGAGAACAGGAAGAGAGAGAAAAGAGAGCCAGGCACAAGGCGUACUCCUCAGAGAAACACCUCAAAUAGCCUUCCUCUGGCCCCUAAUAUCCCACUCAGCCACCAGGUCAUCCACCGUGGCUUCCACCCAUCCAGGAUUAGUUCAUCUGACCAUGACCUGAUCCCAUCUCAGUAAUGCCUGUAGAUAGAGGGCAAAACCCUGCAUACAUGAGUUUUCUGGGGCCACCUUCAUACCCAAACCAUACACCAUACAAACCUCCUGAAAUACUCAGGUUUGGGGUUUGCUUUUUGUUUUUAGGUUAAAACUGGAGAAGCCAUUUUUAAUAUAUUAUCCUUUGAGCCUUCAAAGAUAAGGUUUCCUCAGGUGCCUGCAAUACAUUGCUGUAGGAAGAAUGUAAUUCUUUCACUGCUCUUGGAAUCAGCCUGUGUCAUUUAGAAGAGAGAAUAUUAAGUGUAUUUACCAAAAUAUAUCAUCAGAACUGGCAUUUUAAAAAGAUAAUUAUAGGACUGUAAGUCAGUAUCCCUAAAAACCACCAUUGUUUGUAUUCAGUUUCUUAAAUUUAGGUACACGACCCUGAGAAUACAGCAAUGAAUAUAUGGAUCAAGUUAGACUAUUUUAGCUUUGGUAUGAACAUUGUUUCCUUUUAAUUAAUGUCAGAUGCACAUAGGCCAUAAAAUUCAUGAUUCGAUGCCAAUUUGAAUGUCACUGAAUGAAUUCAGAAGCUGAUUUCUCUUUUCCAGAACUAAUGGGAAAUCAUUGCUACCUUACUUUUUACUUCACUGUGUGGAACAGAAUCCAUAGCCUCACUCGGAACUCUGCCGCCAUCUAGGGGCCUCUCCUUUCAUUACAAGCUUUUCUUUUUCUAAAGUGUGGGGCUACAAAGCUCAACAAGGAGCCAAGACUUGUAAGGUCACUGCAGAGCCCUAAAAACAGCCUAGCUCUGCAGACGACCAGUCAUUUAUUAUGCUGAAAUGAUGUUUCUCGUUAGCUGCUAAAAUUGCUCGUGUGGCUGGAGAGACAGACUUUAAGAGCGCAUCCUGUUCUUCCAGGGGACCCAGGGUUCAGUUUCUGACACCCAUGGCAGACAGCUCACAAUUGCCAGCAGCUCUGGCUACAGAGGACUGAAGUCCUCUCCCAGACUGCAUGGGCACCUGCAUACAGGUGCACACUAACACAAAGAUAUGAGUAAAAUAAAAUAAAUCUUUAAAUGUUUUGGUAUUUUCUUAGCCUAUAGAAGUUGAAGGCUCACACAACUCAUUAGAAAGAAUCCCACAGGUAUUCCUGUAAUCCCAGCACUAAGGAGUCUGAUUCCAUCUUCUUGCAAAACAAGAAGGGAAGGAGGAAGGGUGGGCAGUGAUUGCAAAGAACAAAUUAAAGCUCUGAAUGUUU
This 3455-nucleotide long non-coding RNA is filed under the name Mus musculus (house mouse). Its description in RNAcentral is "long non-coding RNA chr3:86127063-86130518". The record is from RNAcentral. Lineage: Eukaryota; Metazoa; Chordata; Mammalia; Rodentia; Muridae.